ACCUCCUGUGUGGAGGGGAGAGCGCAGAAGAUGAAGACGUGACCUUGCCUGCCCUCCAGAGUCUAGCUCUCUCAUGGGGACCUCGGGGCGGGGGCAGAAAGGGAAUCUGCAUGGAUAAUGCAAAGAUUGCUGUCCCACCUAGGGCCUCCCUCUAUGAGCAUACUUAUCUUUCCAAGACAAGCAGCCCGGGAAGCAAGAAUCUGUCUCCCCAUAGCCAGGUGUCCCCUUAGAGUCCUCAGCUAAGUUGCAUCAGUAACUGUUUGUCAAAGAAAGGCCCACAGGAGGUAAAUGGGACUUGAGAUUUAGAGGCUGAAUCACUGACUCAGCGUCCAAGCCCUUCUGGAAAGCAGCCAGUGCAGAGAAUGGACGCAUCUCCCACGCAGUCGGGUGUCUGGCUCCCCAUAUAGCCCCGGCUGCCCCAGCUCACCAGCCCAUGGAGUAGGCUCCACAGAGCCACUGAGCUGAUGUGUGUUUUCAUGCCGCGCGUGGUGUUGCUUUGCUUCUGCAGGCUCAUUACGGGGAAAUGGGCUGUCAACAUGGCAUCAGAAGAGAACAGAAGGAAAACGAGCUAAUUUCCUGGUUGUGGACAUAAUGGGGGAUUCUUACCUUUGCAGGCUGCUGUUUGCAUGGGGAAUUUGCAGGGCAAUCCCAGGGCUGGAGGGCUAUGCAGUUCUCAGGCUGAUGAGACAGUUUGCAGGAAUUGUGUCUGGUGGGGCCAAAUGGUUUAUGCAAUGUGUUCUAAUGGCCCCAUCAGAGUGCUUGUGAGACCAUUGUCCCCUUACAACAGAUGGGCAAGGACACAGCCAUCCUCACUCCCAAUCAAGAGCACCUGGGACAGAAACCAAAAGGACAGAACAUUCUCAGGUGCCCCUGCUCUGCCCUGCCUAUCACUCCCUUCUUGGGAGCUGCCUCUAACCCACCAGGAAGCAGCUCUACCUAGUCUGAGGUAGAGAGGUUCCUGGGGCACUUGCUCACGGAAGACCUCGAACCUGCUCAUGGAGAAUUCCAGACCCAGAGGCCUGAAAAUCAGGGAGCAACAAACUGCGGGCUUCUCCUCUUCCCUGCAUGUUCUCCAAUUUGUCCUCCUCCCUAUGCCUCCAGCUCACACUGGCCUCUUCCUCUUCUUACUCCUUCCCCAUACUCUGCAGGGCAGGGUGGGGCGGGGGGAACGAAGCAAGGACCUCAGAGACAGAAGGUUAAGGUUGGGACCUGCUCUGCCAUCCUGAGCUGUGUGAUCUUGGGCAACUCACUUGAUUUCUCUGGGGCACCAUCUUCUCCAUGUAAAACGAGCCCUGUUAGCUGGACCAUUUUGCAGACGAAAAACCUCAGACCUGGGGAAAGGAUGUGGUUUGCCCAAGGUCACAUGGCAGGAUUUCAGCCUCCUUCAACUGGCUCGUUAGUCCAUGUGGACUUGUCCAUCUAUGCUGGGACAACCAAACUCAGCUGGGCUCAUGAGAGGGACCUUGAGGAACCUCCACAAUCAGAAGGAGACAAUGCAGUCCAGCACCCCCUCCAGGCUCUGACCACCAGAUCCGCCGACCAGACCUGCUUUGGGUCCACCCCAGUCGCAAUGAUGCUGGCUGUCCACACACUCAACUCUACUCUCUGGCUGUGCGACCCGAGUGCUGGUCUAGACACUUCCUACCCAUCACCUGGAGCUGGGAGAUGGCAUUGGAGUUGGCAAAACAGAAGGCUGGAGCCAUGGCGCUGAUGAGCAAGCAUGGUGGCCUGGACCCCAGCCUGGAUGGAGGCCACAUGAAAACCACUGAGGGACGAUGACCCCCUGUGUCCAUGUGGCUGGUAUUUCCUUUACAGACUUUCCCCAUUCUCAUCUCGUCUUGGUCAAACCGUGGAACAUUGGCCUAGGUCAAACUCAUUCUUCACUGUGGCCAAUUAAUUUCAUUUGGCCAUCAAUUGGUACAGGUUUGCUAAUGAAAAAGAACUGGGCAGUUGUUCAUAAUUCUAAAAGUGGAGAGGUAAAAAGAAUUUAAGCGAUGCCUGCCAUGUUAUUGUAUUAAUAUGGUUCUACAUUUAUUGCCUGUUUUUUUUUUUUAAAGAUGAAUUUUUAGACCUGUUUUAGGUUUACAAUAAAAUCGAGAGGAAGGUACAGAGAUUUCCCAUAUACUCCCUGCCCUCACACAUGCACAGUCUCCCCAAUUAUCAACAUAUUACUCACCAGAAUGGUACAUUUUUUGCAAAGGAUGAACCUACAUUAAUACAUCAUAAUCAUUUAAAGUCCAUAGUUUACCUUAGGGUUCACUCUUGGUGUUGUACAUUCUCUAGGUUUAGAUGAAUGUGUAAUGACAUAUAUUCAUCAUUAUAAUAUCAUACCAAGUGUUUUCACUGACCUACAAAUCCUCCGUAUUCAGCCAAUUCACCUGCCUCCUCCUCAACCCAGCAAACACUCAUCCGUUUAUUGUCUCCACAGUUUUGCCUUUUCCAGAAUGUCAUAUAGUUGGAAUCAUAUUGUAUGUAGCAUUUUCAGAUUAGUUUCUUUCACUUAAUA
Pteropus alecto (black flying fox) is the source of this 2506-nucleotide long non-coding RNA. RefSeq lists it as uncharacterized. The record is from RefSeq and is a predicted model, not a curated record. The transcript is spliced from 4 exons. NCBI's taxonomy places the organism in Eukaryota, Metazoa, Chordata, Mammalia, Chiroptera, Pteropodidae.